Molecule: ribosomal RNA, 962 nt
Filed under: Ascomycota sp. LM111
Lineage: Eukaryota; Fungi; Ascomycota
Description: bacterial SSU rRNA
Rfam family: Eukaryotic small subunit ribosomal RNA (bases 1-345)
Source: RNAcentral
CCGCACGCGCGCUACACUGACGGAGCCAGCGAGUACUUCCUUGGCCGAAAGGCCCGGGUAAUCUUGUUAAACUCCGUCGUGCUGGGGAUAGAGCAUUGCAAUUAUUGCUCUUCAACGAGGAAUCCCUAGUAAGCGCAAGUCAUCAGCUUGCGUUGAUUACGUCCCUGCCCUUUGUACACACCGCCCGUCGCUACUACCGAUUGAAUGGCUCAGUGAGGCGUCCGGACUGGCCCAGGGAGGUGGGCAACUACCACCCAGGGCCGGAAAGCUCUCCAAACUCGGUCAUUUAGAGGAAGUAAAAGUCGUAACAAGGUCUCCGUUGGUGAACCAGCGGAGGGAUCAUUACCGAGUUUACAACUCCCAAACCCAUGUGAACAUUACCUCUAUGUUGCUUCGGCGGAGCCGCCCCGGCGCCCGGAACCCCCUGCGGUCCCGCGGCCCGGAACCAAGGCGCCCGCCGGAGCCACAAACUCUUCUGUUUUUACAGUUUCUUCUGAGUGUGCCGCAAGGCAGUAUACAAAUGAAUCAAAACUUUCAACAACGGAUCUCUUGGUUCUGGCAUCGAUGAAGAACGCAGCGAAAUGCGAUAAGUAAUGUGAAUUGCAGAAUUCAGUGAAUCAUCGAAUCUUUGAACGCACAUUGCGCCCGCCAGAAUUCUGGCGGGCAUGCCUGUUCGAGCGUCAUUUCAACCCUCGAGCUCCCCUUUCGGGGGGAGCCCGGCGUUGGGGAACCGGCGCUAACAACGCCGGCCCCGAAAUGGAGUGGGGGGCCGUCCGCGGCGAACUCUGCGUAGUAACAACCACUCCACCGGGACCCGGGGGCGGGCCCCCCGUAAAAAACCCCCCCUUCCGAAGGUUGACCUCCAAUCAGGGAGGAAAACCCCCUGAACUUUAGCAUUUCAUUAGCGGGAGGAAAAGAAACCAAAAGGGGAUUGCCCCCUAACGGCGAGGGAAGGGGCCACC